Molecule: ribosomal RNA, 497 nt
Filed under: uncultured bacterium
Lineage: Bacteria
Description: partial 16S ribosomal RNA
Rfam family: Bacterial small subunit ribosomal RNA
Source: RNAcentral
GAUGAACGCUGGCGGCGUGCCUAAUACAUGCAAGUCGAGCGAACAGACGAGGAGCUUGCUCCUCUGACGUUAGCGGCGGACGGGUGAGUAACACGUGGAUAACCUACCUAUAAGACUGGGAUAACUUCGGGAAACCGGAGCUAAUACCGGAUAAUAUAUUGAACCGCAUGGUUCAAUAGUGAAAGACGGUUUUGCUGUCACUUAUAGAUGGAUCCGCGCCGCAUUAGCUAGUUGGUAAGGUAACGGCUUACCAAGGCAACGAUGCGUAGCCGACCUGAGAGGGUGAUCGGCCACACAGGAACUGAGACAGGGUCCAGACUCCUACGGGAGGCAGCAGUAGGGAAUCUUCCGCAAUGGGCGAAAGCCUGACGGAGCAACGCCGCGUGAGUGAUGAAGGUCUUCGGAUCGUAAAACUCUGUUAUUAGGGAAGAACAAAUGUGUAAGUAACUAUGCACGUCUUGACGGUACCUAAUCAGAAAGCCACGGCUAACUACGUG